RNAcentral lists this ribosomal RNA (484 nucleotides) under uncultured bacterium. RNAcentral's name for it is "partial 16S ribosomal RNA". It matches the Rfam family "Bacterial small subunit ribosomal RNA", at positions 29 to 523 of the family's 1533-position model. The record is from RNAcentral.
AGUGAACGCUGGCGGCGUGCUCAACACAUGCAAGUCGAACGAGAACGGAUUAUAGCUUGCUAUAAUUGUCAGCUAAGUGGCGCACGGGUGAGUAAUGUAUAGGUAAUAUGCCUCUUACUAAGGGAUAACAAAUGGAAACGUUUGCUAAUACCUUAUACUCCUUAUUAACAGAAGUUAAUAAGGGAAAGAUUUAUUGGUAAGAGAUUAGCCUGUAUUGUAUCAGUUAGUUGGUGGGGUAAUGGCUUACCAAGACUAUGACACAUAACUGGUUUGAGAGGAUGAUCAGUGACACUGGAACUAAGACACGGUCCAGACUCCUACGGGAGGCAGCAGUGGGGAAUAUUGCACAAUGGACGAAAGUCUGAUGCAGCAACGCCGCGUGGAGGAUGACACAUUUCGGUGCGUAAACUCCUUUUAUAUGAGAAGAUAAUGACGGUAUUAUAUGAAUAAGCACCGGCUAACUCCGUGCCAGCCGCCGCCGUAA